This 545-nucleotide long non-coding RNA is filed under the name Homo sapiens (human). RNAcentral describes it as "non-protein coding lnc-FAM47B-1:5". Lineage: Eukaryota; Metazoa; Chordata; Mammalia; Primates; Hominidae. The record is from RNAcentral.
AGGGCACAGCCUCUGCGGAGAGUAGCAGGGUACAGUGAAUAACCCAGACACUAAAAAGCAAGGCAGCGGGGGUCCUACCAGCGCGGCUUUUGAUGACGUCGGUGAAUCCGUCCUCAGCGGCAUUUUCUGGGGUCUCCUGCAGACCCCUCAGCUGUGCCAUAACCAAACGCCACGUGCCUCAGCUUCCUCACGCCCCAAACUUUGGAAGGCAGGUCACAUGGAAUCUACACAUGGAAGGACAUAGGCAUUGCAUGCAGGUAUCCGGAAUCAUUGAUAUUGGUCUUAAAAUUUGGAAGUUUCCACUUUUGCUAAGAAAAGGCACGUGUUGGUGAUCAGAUGACCCCCAGAAAAACUGCAGAUGCGUAAGUGAGAUAUAAAUGAUUAUUCUUACAUUCCACUGAGUUUUGGGUUAGUUUGCUUUAUAGCAAUAUUAAGCUGACUGAUAGAAGCAUCAUUGCUAGACUAAAUUUUUAUAAAUCUGGAGGAAUUUAAUGGAUUUCAAAUUGUUGGCCUGUAAAAUGAAUGAAAAAUAUGUUCAUAGUGGU